RNAcentral lists this ribosomal RNA (840 nucleotides) under Paenibacillus validus. RNAcentral describes it as "bacterial SSU rRNA". It matches the Rfam family "Bacterial small subunit ribosomal RNA", at positions 1 to 847 of the family's 1533-position model. Lineage: Bacteria; Bacillati; Bacillota; Bacilli; Caryophanales; Paenibacillaceae. The record is from RNAcentral.
GUUCCGCCACCCCGUAUUUUCUACCGGGGGGGGGUGCCUAUCAUGCAAGUCGAGCGGAGCACUUCGGUGCUUAGCGGCGGACGGGUGAGUAACACGUAGGCAACCUGCCUGUAAGAUCGGGAUAACUACCGGAAACGGUAGCUAAGACCGGAUAGCUGGUUUCGGUGCAUGCCGGAAUCAUGAAACACGGGGCAACCUGUGGCUUACAGAUGGGCCUGCGGCGCAUUAGCUAGUUGGCGGGGUAAUGGCCCACCAAGGCGACGAUGCGUAGCCGACCUGAGAGGGUGAUCGGCCACACUGGGACUGAGACACGGCCCAGACUCCUACGGGAGGCAGCAGUAGGGAAUCUUCCGCAAUGGGCGCAAGCCUGACGGAGCAACGCCGCGUGAGUGAUGAAGGUUUUCGGAUCGUAAAGCUCUGUUGCCAGGGAAGAAUGUCGUGGAGAGUAACUGCUCUGCGAAUGACGGUACCUGAGAAGAAAGCCCCGGCUAACUACGUGCCAGCAGCCGCGGUAAUACGUAGGGGGCAAGCGUUGUCCGGAAUUAUUGGGCGUAAAGCGCGCGCAGGCGGUCUUUUAAGUCUGGUGUUUAAGCCCGGGGCUCAACCCCGGUUCGCACCGGAAACUGGAAGACUUGAGUGCAGGAGAGGAAAGCGGAAUUCCACGUGUAGCGGUGAAAUGCGUAGAGAUGUGGAGGAACACCAGUGGCGAAGGCGGCUUUCUGGACUGUAACUGACGCUGAGGCGCGAAAGCGUGGGGGAGCAAACAGGAUUAGAUACCCUGGUAGUCCACGCCGUAAACGAUGAGUGCUAGGUGUUAGGGGUUUCGAUACCCUUGGUGCC